This is a long non-coding RNA of Glycine soja, 554 nucleotides long. RefSeq lists it as uncharacterized. Lineage: Eukaryota; Viridiplantae; Streptophyta; Magnoliopsida; Fabales; Fabaceae. The record is from RefSeq and is a predicted model, not a curated record. The transcript has 5 exons.
UGUGUCUUCCUAUGAACUUUUUUUUUUCUGCUGCCAACUCCACGUAUCAUCCUCUGUUUAUCUCUUUCUCUUUUCUCUUUUUUUUCGGAAACUGAAAUUUCCCCAGAAUGUUGAAGCCACCCGCUUUUUGCAAUACAAUAUGUGAGGAACGAGAUUCGUGAAGCCAUCAAAGGUUACAAAGGAUAUACAUACUGAUCGUGGUGUCUGUGGCUCAGUGGUAUUUCACGUUCAAUCGCUUACAAUUGGUCUCGGCCCAACAUGAAAAUCGGUGUUAGGAUCAUUCACGCAAGUUCCUAUUAUCGGAACGUUCCUGUUUCUCGCAAAGGAACAUUACAUCAAACAUAUAGUGAAGGAAGGAGCUUUGAGUGAGAUUCCUCAAUUCAAAGAACACUUUGGCUCCUUAAUAGAAGUGACCACUCCAUCAAUUGUAUCUGCAUGUUAUAAAUUUUGUAAUUUAUUUGUCUUUUUGAAAUAUUAUUGGUAGGUUAUUGUUUUUUCCUUCUUAUUUUUAUCAUAAAUUUAAUUAAUCAUUUACCUGUGUCUUCAUGUUCUUC